GUCUACGGCCAUACCACCCUGAACGUGCCCGAUUUCGUCUGAUCUCGGAAGCUAAGCAGGGUCGGGCCUGGUUAGUACUUGGAUGGGAGAAAAACUUUCACAUAUUCC
Molecule: ribosomal RNA, 108 nt
Filed under: Neogale vison (American mink)
Lineage: Eukaryota; Metazoa; Chordata; Mammalia; Carnivora; Mustelidae
Source: RNAcentral